CCACCCUUGUAGUGUUGAUGUUCUAACGUCGACCCCUUAUCGGGGUUGCGGACAGUGCCUGGUGGGUAGUUUGACUGGGGCGGUCUCCUCCCAAAGAGUAACGGAGGAGCACGAAGGUGGGCUAAUCACGGUUGGACAUCGUGAGGUUAGUGCAAUGGCAUAAGCCCGCUUGACUGCGAGAAUGACAAUUCGAGCAGGUGCGAAAGCAGGUCAUAGUGAUCCGGUGGUUCUGAAUGGAAGGGCCAUCGCUCAACGGAUAAAAGGUACUCCGGGGAUAACAGGCUGAUACCGCCCAAGAGUUCAUAUCGACGGCGGUGUUUGGCACCUCGAUGUCGGCUCAUCACAUCCUGGGGCUGAAGUCGGUCCCAAGGGUAUGGCUGUUCGCCAUUUAAAGUGGUACGCGAGCUGGGUUUAGAACGUCGUGAGACAGUUCGGUCCCUAUCUGCCGUGGGCGUUGGAAGAUUGAAGGGGGCUGCUCCUAGUACGAGAGGACCGGAGUGGACGAACCUCUGGUGUUCGGGUUGUGUCGCCAGACGCAUUGCCCGGUAGCUAAGUUCGGAAUCGAUAACCGCUGAAAGCAUCUAAGCGGGAAGCGAG
RNAcentral lists this ribosomal RNA (597 nucleotides) under Vibrio parahaemolyticus. RNAcentral describes it as "partial 23S ribosomal RNA". It matches the Rfam family "Bacterial large subunit ribosomal RNA", at positions 2200 to 2796 of the family's 2925-position model. The record is from RNAcentral. Lineage: Bacteria; Pseudomonadati; Pseudomonadota; Gammaproteobacteria; Vibrionales; Vibrionaceae.